RNAcentral lists this long non-coding RNA (2151 nucleotides) under Homo sapiens (human). Its description in RNAcentral is "uncharacterized LOC101928372 (LOC101928372)". Lineage: Eukaryota; Metazoa; Chordata; Mammalia; Primates; Hominidae. The record is from RNAcentral.
UAGGCCAAUUUUAAGUGGGGCACAAAGCAAGAAAAGCCUCCACGGCAAGUCUAGGCUUUGAUGAAAAUUUUCCUUCCACGUGGACCUUAUGGUUGAGCAUACCAUAUAAGAUUGCUAGUUGGAAAAGCCUCCCGAGGUGCUGGGACUGCAGACGGAGUCUCGCUCACUCAGUGCUCAGUGUUGCCCAGGCUGGAGUGCAGUGGGGUGAUCUCGGCUCGCUACAACCUCCACCUCCCAGCCGCCUGCCUCGGCCUCCCAAAGUGCCGAGAUUGCAGCCUCUGCCCGGCCGCCACCCUGUCUGAGAGGUGAGGAGCGUCUCUGCCUGGCUGCCCAUCGUCUGGGAUGUGAGGAGCCCCUCUGCCCAGCCGCCCAGUCUGGGAAGUGAGGAGCCUCUCUGCCCGGCCGCCCAUCGUCUGGGAUGUGGGGAGCGCCUCUGCCCGGCUGCGACCCCGUCUGGGAACUGAGGAGCCUCUCUGCCCGGCUGCCACCCUGUCUGGGAGGUGAGGAGCGUCUCUGCCCGGCCGCCCCAUCUGAGAGCUCCUGCCUUGCUGCUGGGUGCUGGAGAGGCUAAAUGUAUGACUAAGGAGCAUCAAGUGACUACCAAACCCAAACUCCCCAUCAAGCACUGGUAUAUGUGUUGCUGAAGUGAACAUUUAUUUUUAUUCAAUGGGUUCUUCCUAGCCACUGUGCAAGCCCAGAAUAUGUGAGGUGGAAUUCACCAGAACCAUAGAAUUCCAGUUUUUCCGUCUCCAAAUAGCCGGGGUUGGAAGAUGGGUUCUCGCCCUGACACCGCAGAGCUCUGUCUCAUCUAUAGAACAAGAGUACAGCCGCCUCCGUUAUCUCCCGACUGCAGCUGCUCUUAACGGUUUCGCUCUUGUUGCCCAGGCUGGAGUGCAGUGGUGUGAACUCAGCUCACCGCAACCUCCGCCUCCCAGGUUCAAGCGAUUCUCCUGCCUCAGCCUCCCGAGGAGCUGGGAUUACAGGCAUGCGCCAUCAUGCCCAGCUAAUGUUUUGUAUGCACCUUUUCUUAACUAUUAUUGAAGGGGUGGCCUGCCCCUCCACACCUGUGGGUGUUCCUCGUUGGGUGGAACGAGAGACUGAGAAAAGAAAGAGACACAGCGACAAAGUAUAGAGAAAGAAAAGUGGGCCCAGGGGACUGGCGCUCAGCAUAAGGAGGACCCGCACCAGCACCAGUCUCUGAGUUCCCUCAGUAUUUAUUGAUCAUUAUCUCUACCAUCUCAGAGAGGGGGACGUGGCAGGACAAUAGGGUAAUAGUGGGGAGAGGGUCAGCAGGAAAACAUGUGAACAAAUGUCUGUGUCAUAAACAAGGUUAAGAAAAGGUGCUGUGCUUUUGACGUGCACAUACAUAAACAUCUCGGUGCAUUAAAAAGCAGUAUUGCCGCCAGCAUGUCUCACCUCCAGCCCUAAGGUGGUUUUCUCCUAUCUCAGUAAAUAGAACAUACAAUCGGGUUUUACACCAAAACAUUCCAUUGCCCAGGGAUAAGCAGAAGACAGAUGCCUUCCUCUUAUCUCAACUGCAAAGAGGCCUUCCUCUUUUACUAAUCCUCCUCAGCACAGACCCUUUGUGGGUGUCGGGCUGGGGGACAGUCAGGUCUUUCCCUUCCCACGAGGCCAUAUCUCAGGCUAUCACAUGGGGAGAAACCUUGGACAAUACCUGGCUUUCCUAGACAGAGGUCCCUGCGGCCUUCCGCAGUGUAUUGUGUCCCUGGGUACUUGAGAUUAGAGAGUGGUGAUGACCUUUAACAAGCAUGCUGCCUUCAAGCACUUGUUUAACAAAGCACAUCCUGCACAGCCCUAAAUCCAUUAAACCGUGAGUCAACACAGCACAUGUCUCUGUGAGCACAGGGUUGGGGGUAGGGUUACAGAUUAACAGCAUCUCAAGGCAGAAGAAUUUUUCUCAGCACAGACCAAAAUGGAGUCUCUUAUGUCUACUUCUUUCUACAUAGACACAGUAACAGUCUGAUCUCUUUUUCUUUUCCCCACAAUUAUAAGAGUAUACAAGGUGGUGAUGAAGAAACCUGGGAUUACGUGCUGUGAAAUGGGGAUAACAGCAAUUCUAACUUCAUAGUUUUCUCAUGGUAAUUAAAUGACACAAAAUCAUGUUAAGUUCCAAGAAAAAAAAAAAAAAAA